This 253-nucleotide ribosomal RNA is filed under the name uncultured bacterium. Its description in RNAcentral is "partial 16S ribosomal RNA". It matches the Rfam family "Bacterial small subunit ribosomal RNA", at positions 524 to 776 of the family's 1533-position model. The record is from RNAcentral.
UACGGGGGGGGCAAGCGUUGUUCGGAAUUACUGGGCGUAAAGGGCUCGUAGGUGGCCAACUAAGUCAGACGUGAAAUCCCUCGGCUUAACCGGGGAACUGCGUCUGAUACUGGAUGGCUUGAGUGUGGGAGAGGGAUGCGGAAUUCCAGGUGUAGCGGUGAAAUGCGUAGAGAUCGGGAAGAACACCAGUGGCGAAGGCGGCCGGCUGGGGGCGCCCUGACGCUGAGGCGCGAGAGCGUGGGGAGCAAACCGG